RNAcentral lists this ribosomal RNA (447 nucleotides) under uncultured bacterium. RNAcentral's name for it is "bacterial SSU rRNA". It matches the Rfam family "Bacterial small subunit ribosomal RNA", at positions 355 to 825 of the family's 1533-position model. The record is from RNAcentral.
UGGGGAAUAUUGGACAAUGGGCGAAAGCCUGAUCCAGCCAUGCCGCGUGAGUGACGAAGGCCUUAGGGUUGUAAAGCUCUUUUGGCGGGGAAGAUAAUGACGGUACCCGCAGAAUAAGCUCCGGCUAACUUCGUGCCAGCAGCCGCGGUAAUACGAAGGGAGCUAGCGUUGUUCGGAAUCACUGGGCGUAAAGCGCACGUAGGCGGAUUGUUUAGUCAGGGGUGAAAUCCCGGAGCUCAACUUCGGAACUGCCUUUGAUACUGGCAAUCUCGAGUCCGAUAGAGGUGGGUGGAAUUCCUAGUGUAGAGGUGAAAUUCGUAGAUAUUAGGAAGAACACCAGUGGCGAAGGCGGCCAACUGGCUCGAUACUGACGCUGAGGUGCGAAAGCGUGGGGAGCAAACAGGAUUAGAUACCCCAGUAGUCCCUGAGCGGGCUGGCAAGGCGCAU